RNAcentral lists this non-coding RNA (25 nucleotides) under Mus musculus (house mouse). Lineage: Eukaryota; Metazoa; Chordata; Mammalia; Rodentia; Muridae. The record is from RNAcentral.
UACCUAGAGUGUUGACAGGGAUGAG